Molecule: long non-coding RNA, 1546 nt
Filed under: Homo sapiens (human)
Lineage: Eukaryota; Metazoa; Chordata; Mammalia; Primates; Hominidae
Description: non-protein coding lnc-WISP1-2:2
Source: RNAcentral
UUUCCCUUGGCUCCGGGCUUCCUGCAAGCCGAAUUUAGCUCUGCCAAGCCACGUGGACCGCAGCGGGCUCGGCAGAGGCCGAGCCUGGGAGACGCCGGAGGCGGCGGCUGCGGCGCGGGGACCUGAUCGGCGCCCCGAGAGGAGCUCCCCGCUCUCUGGACGCGGCCCUCAAGCUGGCGGGGCUAAGGAAGAGCGCCCGGGAGGCCCGGGAGCCACUGGGGUCCGUUUCAGCAGGAAGACGGGCACGCACCGAGAGGAUGGCAGUGCCCAGAAGAACUCGAGUCGGGGGCACGGUGGGGAGAAGGGGCCGAUCCCCUGCUGGCGACCGGGCAGAGCCACCCACUUCCUCUAAGGGCGCGGGACUCGAGGUGGGAUUUAGGGAGGGGGAAGGGAGGAGCGUGGGCUGGACGACUCUUGCGGCCAGAACCGCGUUCAGAGCCACAGAGCCGGGCACUGCGGCCGGCCCUGGUCCCGGCCCCGGCCCUGGCCCAGCCCUUGCCCUGGCUCGCCUGCCGCCGCUUUUUCCUUCCAGAUGCGGAGGCUGCGGCUGGAGCUUGGGGUUUGCGGAUUAGGCUUGCAGUUAUUCAGCCCUCCCUCUUUUACAGGGAAGCGGGGGCGGUGGAGACUUCUUUUGCUGAAAGGCAGAGUGCAGCGCUUUGAUGCUAAAUGCACUGGAGAGAGAUCAACCUUUUGCAGUGGAAGGGGAGAGUCCCCCAGCCUUUGUUUCAUCAGACGGCUGCUGUAGUACAGGGAUUCAGGCCAGGGCCCGCAUGGCCGGACUUCUUGGUUCAAAUCCUGCACUGCCACUCAACGGAUGUGUGAGCUUGGGCUAGUGACUGAACCUCCCAGCCUAGGUGACUCUGUGCCUCGGUGUCCUCAUCUGUGAGAACCGACCUAAGAAGUGUCUGUCUGAUAAAGCUGUUGUGAUGAGUUAGUGAAUUCGUACACAUAGAACCUUUAGAACUGUCUUUGACAUGUAGUAAGUCAGCUGUGUAGAUGGUGGGUUUCUCCAGUGUCAGGUCCCUGCCCACAGCAGGAAGAUGACCUGUGCUAGAAGAUGGGGGCUAGGGUGUUGGGGAAGACUUCAGGGACUUGGGAGAGAAAAGGAGAAAUAUUCAGAGAUGAGAAAAGUAGAAGAAAAACCAGCUUUUAAAAGGGGGAGGAGAGAGAAUGAGAAAAAUAACUACUAGAAAGGGAAGGAAAAGAUGAAUAGCCUUUUAGGUACUUCGGGACCUGCUCUGAGACCUCUUGCCUGACGCCCUUGGUUUUUGAUAGAAUUCUAGAGAAGGGGUGAGCCCUUUUGUCUGCCUGGACACAUCCUGUGGGCUUUCCUCUUUCUGAAACUCAGGUCAAGGUGUUCACUGCAUCUCCAGAUUGCUUGUGUGCAUGGGAGGAGGGGGGCAGAGAGUUCUGCUUACAUCGGCUACUGUCCCCUCCACCAGCAGCGUCUUCCAGCAAAGAAGAGCUUCUAACAUGCACCAGACUUUUAGCUUUGGCUGGGAAUAUCGUCUGGGCCAAUAAAGAGUUUUUGGAUGAAAUAACAAAA